This 265-nucleotide signal recognition particle RNA is filed under the name Oscillospiraceae bacterium. RNAcentral describes it as "signal recognition particle sRNA large type". It matches the Rfam family "Bacterial large signal recognition particle RNA". Rfam says of the family: The signal recognition particle (SRP) is a universally conserved ribonucleoprotein involved in the co-translational targeting of proteins to membranes. Archaeal SRP consists of a 7S RNA and homologues of the eukaryotic SRP19 and SRP54 proteins. In most bacteria, the SRP consists of a 4.5S RNA and the Ffh protein (a homologue of the eukaryotic SRP54 protein). The record is from RNAcentral. Lineage: Bacteria; Bacillati; Bacillota; Clostridia; Eubacteriales; Oscillospiraceae.
CCAUACCAGCCGGGGAAUUAGCGGAGCCCUGAACCUGAAACCCGCUGCAGCAGGGGUGGAUCCCCCUUUUGAGGAAUAAGCUUUUGCGAAUGAAACGCCUUUUUCGUGUUGAGAAAUGGGUCUUGCGCAAUUCGGUUCCGUGAACCAUGUCAGGUGGGGAACCAAGCAGCAUUAAGCGGAGUGCUGGAUGUGCCGCAAGGAAGCCUGUUUUGAGCGAGAAUUGCGAAGCUCGCGCGGAAGUGAGUUUCGAUUUUGGGGUGUAUGG